UCUAACUCCAGAUCAGUCUGUUCUGAGAAAUAAAAUCUCCAUCAGCCUCCUUCUUCACACACAGAGAAAUAUUUUUGUACUGUGAGUUUU
Danio rerio (zebrafish) is the source of this 90-nucleotide non-coding RNA. The record is from Ensembl. Lineage: Eukaryota; Metazoa; Chordata; Actinopteri; Cypriniformes; Danionidae.